GGAUGUGAGGGUGACCUGGCUCUGACCUGUCACCCCAUCCAUCACUAGGGCUGAUCUGACUGAUCUGGCUGGCUAGGCCGGUGACCCCUUCCUCCCUUACCGCUCAGUGUGCGUCCCUCCCUAGGCUGUGUCCUCAGUUCAAGAGGACUACCUUCCCUGCGAGAGAAGGACCAUUCUUGGGUCAAGAGUACGGGAGUAGCUGCUCUCCAGUGCUAGAGUGUCUCAUCGUCCUUCUGCAGGAAGCUUAGGGUAGUCGUUUCCAAGACUCCAGACACAUCCAAAUGAGGCACUGCAUGUAUGUGGUAGUCUGCCUUUCUUU
Unclassified non-coding RNA from Panthera pardus (leopard), 319 nucleotides. Its record names the gene 7SK. It matches the Rfam family "7SK RNA". From Rfam's summary of the family: 7SK was discovered as an abundant small nuclear RNA in the mid-70s but a possible function has only recently been suggested. Two independent studies have found that 7SK RNA binds the CDK9/cyclin T complex (known as elongation factor P-TEFb). The record is from Ensembl. NCBI's taxonomy places the organism in Eukaryota, Metazoa, Chordata, Mammalia, Carnivora, Felidae.